GAUGAACGCUGGCGGCGUGCCUAAUACAUGCAAGUCGAGCGAACAGACGAGGAGCUUGCUCCUCUGACGUUAGCGGCGGACGGGUGAGUAACACGUGGAUAACCUACCUAUAAGACUGGGAUAACUUUGGGAAACCGGAGCUAAUACCGGAUAAUAUAUUGAACCGCAUGGUUCAAUAGUGAAGGACGGUUUUGCUGUCACUUAUAGAUGGAUCCGCGCCGCAUUAGCUAGUUGGUAAGGUAACGGCUUACCAAGGCAACGAUGCGUAGCCGACCUGAGAGGGUGAUCGGCCACACUGGAACUGAGACACGGUCCAGACUCCUACGGGAGGCAGCAGUAGGGAAUCUUCCGCAAUGGGCGAAAGCUUGACGGAGCAACGCCGCGUGAGUGAUGAAGGUCUUCGGAUCGUAAAACUCUGUUAUUAGGGAAGAACAAAUGUGUAAGUAACUAUGCACGUCUUGACGGUACCUAAGCAGAAAGCCACGGCUAACUACGU
Molecule: ribosomal RNA, 496 nt
Filed under: uncultured bacterium
Lineage: Bacteria
Description: partial 16S ribosomal RNA
Rfam family: Bacterial small subunit ribosomal RNA
Source: RNAcentral